This is a non-coding RNA of Bacillus cereus Rock3-44, 95 nucleotides long. The record is from Rfam. Lineage: Bacteria; Bacillati; Bacillota; Bacilli; Caryophanales; Bacillaceae.
UGGGCAGUAUCUGAUUGAACUGCACCAUUAUUGUAAGCGAUGAAGAAAAAUAAUUUGGAUUCUGCCUUGAUCCAACAACGGACUGGGACAGAGGG